RNAcentral lists this ribosomal RNA (523 nucleotides) under uncultured bacterium. RNAcentral describes it as "bacterial SSU rRNA". It matches the Rfam family "Bacterial small subunit ribosomal RNA", at positions 24 to 518 of the family's 1533-position model. The record is from RNAcentral.
UUAGGACGAACGCUGGCGGCGUGCCUAAUACAUGCAAGUCGAACGGUCUUUUCUAUGGAAGCUUGCUUCCACUGAGAAGAUAGUGGCGAACGGGUGGGUAACACGUGGGUAACCUGCCCAUAAGAGGGGGGAUAACAUCCGGAAACGGGUGCUAAUACCGCAUAGUUUUCUUGAUCGCAUGAUCGGGAAAGGAAAGACGGCCUUUGUGCUGUCGCUUAUGGAUGGACCCGCGGCGUAUUAGUUAGUUGGUGAGGUAACGGCUCACCAAGACGAUGAUACGUAGCCGACCUGAGAGGGUGAUCGGCCACAUUGGGACUGAGACACGGCCCAAACUCCUACGGGAGGCAGCAGUAGGGAAUCUUCCGCAAUGGACGAAAGUCUGACGGAGCAACGCCGCGUGAGUGAAAGAAGGUUUUCGGAUCGUAAAACUCUGUUGUCAGAGAAGAACAAGUUGGAGAGUAACUGCUCCAGCCUUGACGGUAUCUGACCAGAAAGCCACGGCUAACUACGUGCCAGCCGCCGC